RNAcentral lists this unclassified non-coding RNA (582 nucleotides) under Hevea brasiliensis (rubber tree). Lineage: Eukaryota; Viridiplantae; Streptophyta; Magnoliopsida; Malpighiales; Euphorbiaceae. The record is from RNAcentral.
AUCGCCUUCGAUCACGAAAUCGGCCCCUCACUCUCUCCCUUGCCCUCAUAUCAGUUGGCUUCUUCCUGUUCUCCUCUGCAAAUACAACUGUUAAUUCUCGACCAAGGAGAACUCUACCAUCCAUAUGAUGUUUCGCCUCAGCAGCAUCAUAAGGAUCUGCAUAUUGGACAAAACCAAAACCACGGGGUUCCCCAGUAUAAUAAUCCUUAGGCAAGUAAAUGUCCUUGAGAGCACCGAACUGUUCAAAAGGCCUGCGGAGGUCUUCUGGCCUGCAAUCAUGACGAAGAUUACGCACGAGAAGGCUAGUAGGAAGAUCCCUACCACCGCGACGACCGCCACCACCAUAACGUCCUCUAGGACUAGGGCUGCGACCCCUUCUACCAUAGCCCCUUGGUGGAGAUGGGCUAUAACUCCUUCCUCUCAUUUAGACGAAAUUUUUACCUGAACAGAGAGAGAAUCGGCGAAUUAGGGUUUCAGUGGAAGCUUAAAGAAGUAGGCGGCGGUGCAUAGUGAGCUAGUGCGAGGCUAGGGUGCAGGCAAUAUUGGUUGGAUAAAAUGGGUAGAAGAGCUUCGAACCUGCCU